GACAGAGGUGGCGAGCGUUGUUCGGAAUCACUGGGCUUAAAGGGCGAGUAGGCGGUAGAGCAAGUCUGAUGUGGAAUCUUAGGGCUUAACCCUAAAACUGCAUUAGAAACUGUUUUACUUGAGUCAGUGAGGGGAGGGCGGAAUUCCUGGUGUAGCGGUGAAAUGCGUAGAUAUCAGGAGGAAGGCCUGUGGCGAAGGCGGCCCUCUGGCACUGUACUGACGCUGAGGCGCGAAAGCGUGGGGAGCAAAC
This 250-nucleotide ribosomal RNA is filed under the name uncultured bacterium. Its description in RNAcentral is "partial 16S ribosomal RNA". It matches the Rfam family "Bacterial small subunit ribosomal RNA", at positions 524 to 773 of the family's 1533-position model. The record is from RNAcentral.